Molecule: unclassified non-coding RNA, 465 nt
Filed under: Athalia rosae (coleseed sawfly)
Lineage: Eukaryota; Metazoa; Arthropoda; Insecta; Hymenoptera; Athaliidae
Description: misc RNA ENSAEAG00005003853.1
Source: RNAcentral
CGCCUAGUAAGGACUGUAUCGAUAAAAGUAUGGUGCGAACGUCAUACAGAGCACUCCACUUGUCUUUUAGUAUAUCCAGACAGAUAUUACCAGCCGAAUCCACAUUGGGAUGAAAACAAGGAGUGGCAAAUCUCACUACAGGAGCGCUGUAUGGAUAACUGUGCGGAAACUCCAGUGUUAGCUUAUAUGUCAGCCCCACGUAGACCUGCACAGAUAGGAAUGGUUGUAUUGCAAUCAUAUUCCCAUACAUCUAUCAACUUGAAAGCACGUAUCUUACAGUGUCUCGAGGUCCGGUAAUAGUCCCGAUCCACUUGAAGAGAUUCUCUCCAUCAGGGAAAGCAGAGACGCUUUUUUCAGUGCUGGUCAUGAGAACGAGGAGUUCCUUCUGCAGUCUACAGAGAAGAGAAAUUGAUAACCUCACAUUUUCCGAGUGAAGAUAAUGAGGGAAGUUUGGUUAUGUAGCGC